This 253-nucleotide ribosomal RNA is filed under the name uncultured bacterium. RNAcentral describes it as "partial 16S ribosomal RNA". It matches the Rfam family "Bacterial small subunit ribosomal RNA", at positions 524 to 776 of the family's 1533-position model. The record is from RNAcentral.
UACGUAGGGGGCAAGCGUUACUCGGAAUCACUGGGCGUAAAGCGCAGGUAGGCGGUUUGGUAAGUCUGUUGUGAAAGCUCCCGGCUUAACUGGGAGAGGUCAACGGAAACUAUCAGGCUAGAGUGUGGUAGAGGUAGCUGGAAUUCCCGGCGUAGCGGUGAGAUGCGUAGAUAUCGGGAGGAAUACCUAUGGCGAAAGCAGUCUACUGGACCAUCACUGACGCUGAGAUGCGAAAGCGAGGGGAGCAAACAGG